This 439-nucleotide ribosomal RNA is filed under the name uncultured bacterium. Its description in RNAcentral is "partial 16S ribosomal RNA". It matches the Rfam family "Bacterial small subunit ribosomal RNA", at positions 339 to 795 of the family's 1533-position model. The record is from RNAcentral.
CUACGGGUCGCUCCAGUGAGGAAUAUUGCACAAUGGGGGGAACCCUGAUGCAGCAACGCCGCGUGGAGGAUGACGCAUUUCGGUGUGUAAACUCCUUUUAUAUGUCAAGAAAAUGACGGUAGCAUAUGAAUAAGCACCGGCUAACUCCGUGCCAGCAGCCGCGGUAAUACGGAGGGUGCAAGCGUUACUCGGAAUCACUGGGCGUAAAGGACGCGUAGGCGGGGUGGAAAGUCAGGUGUGAAAUCCUACAGCUUAACUGUAGAACUGCACUUGAAACUUCUAAUCCAGAGUAUGGGAGGGGGAGAUGGAAUUAGUGGUGUAGGGGUAAAAUCCGUAGAUAUCACUAGGAAUACCUAAAGCGAAGGCGAUCUCCUGGAACAUUACUGACGCUAAGGCGUGAAAGCGUGGGGAGCAAACAGGAUUAGAUACCCUCGUAGUC